GACGAACGCUGGCGGCGUGCUUAACACAUGCAGGUCGAACGGAAAGGCCCUGCUUUUGUGGGGUGCUCGAGUGGCGAACGGGUGAGUAACACGUGAGUAAUCUGCCCUUGACUUUGGGAUAACUUCAGGAAACUGGGGCUAAUACCGGAUAGGAGCUCCUGCUGCAUGGUGGGGGUUGGAAAGUUUCGGCGGUUGGGGAUGGACUCGCGGCUUAUCAGCUUGUUGGUGGGGUAGUGGCUUACCAAGGCUUUGACGGGUAGCCGGCCUGAGAGGGUGACCGGCCACAUUGGGACUGAGAUACGGCCCAGACUCCUACGGGAGGCAGCAGUGGGGAAUAUUGCACAAUGGGCGGAAGCCUGAUGCAGCAACGCCGCGUGCGGGAUGACGGCCUUCGGGUUGUAAACCGCUUUCGCCUGUGACGAAGCGUGAGUGACGGUAAUGGGUAAAGAAGCACCGGCUAACUACGUG
RNAcentral lists this ribosomal RNA (468 nucleotides) under uncultured bacterium. RNAcentral's name for it is "partial 16S ribosomal RNA". It matches the Rfam family "Bacterial small subunit ribosomal RNA", at positions 28 to 507 of the family's 1533-position model. The record is from RNAcentral.